GGAGCCAUGGUAACCAAGUUACGCUAAACAGGCAUAGAACACGCUCAUAGAAGCUGCUGUUUUCUGUGUGGUUUAAGUCCUUUAAAAUAAGUUUGAAUGUCCCGGAAGGCGCUUAAAGUGUUAACUGAAAUAAAGCUCAGAGCGGUUUCCUGCCCUGGAGUUCACCUGUCAGUCAAAGAUGACGUUUAUCUCAAAAUGUUCUUCAUGGAUCAGUUCCGUCAGUCUCGGUGUGUCCCUGCAGUCUUUCCUUUGUUGUUCCACGAGAAGAUUACAUUUGAAAAGAUUUUUAGGCAUGCAGUGGACCCUGGAGAAAUAGCUCUACUGCUUGAGUAUGAAACUGUCAGAAUAGAACUGGUGCAACUGAUUCCUCCAGCUGGAGACACUCUGGCGUAUUUCGAAGAAGAUGCUCGUAGUUUCUUGUUUCCAGAGCCCAAGCUAGUUCCGUCCUUCUCUGGAGUGGACCGAGCAGUACUGAUGACCAGAGCUGCUCACUUCUUUAGUAUUGUUCCUCGGUUAGAGUUUUCUACCAAGACUACAAUUUCUGAGUGUCCACCUGAUACAAAGGUUACCACUUACUGUAACAUUCCACUGUGGGCAGGGAAAAGAAGAAAUAAGAGGCACUCCAACAUACCUCGAUCUACACCUCAUCGGAUUGCUGAAAGAGAGAGAAGUGUCAGGAUGGCCUCACCUCUGUCAUACAUUUCCAGAUCCCAGUCCCUUUCUUCACUGAGAGAUGGGUACAUCCCCAGUCUGGCCCAACUCAGUAUGGGCUCUGCACCUUGCAACCCCACUGACUGGGAGACGGCAAGCUCUCAGCCUAUAAUGUCCUCUUGGCUGGAGGCUAGUGUGUCUGCCUCACCCAAAUGCUCUACAAUGUUUACCAGUCGUUCUGCCUCACCUUUGACUAGGUCUUCUUCCACAGUGAGCCAUUCCUCUGCUUCCAGACGACUUCAGUCCAGGAGCUUGCAGGUCAGAGGAAAAUCUGAGAUUGAUUCCAGGUAUUUAGGAGCGCAUGAGUCCAUUGACCCUGUGCCCUUACCCCUUCAUCUAUCCUACAGAGAACUGCCCCACCACCACAGUUCUCACAGAUCAUGGGAAGAACUCCAUGAGCGCGUUCAAGGUCUUCUAACAACUCCAAAAGCUGUACGCCGACUUGCCUAUGGAACCACACUGUCUGAGGCUGAUGAAGUUUUAGCCUGGAGGUUCAUUUCUGCAGGUCCACUCUGAGUCUGGAGAGCUCAGAUGGUGCUGAUCUAUCGCUAUUCAAUUAAACACAAAGUUGGAGUCAAGUGUUCAUCACCCACUCUCUUUGCGGUUGACAUCUGGAUGGAGAUCCUCUAAUGGUUCUGGAACUCAUCUGCAGUGGCUUGGGUGGAUCCAGCUGGCUCAAUCAAGGAUUCAAUGAUUGACAAGCUAUCCUCUUGGGAGCAGUGCAGCUGCCACGCCAUACAUUGGUGCAGGUGCAGAUAAAGGUCUCCACCACACAGCGAUAGAAGCUCCUCCGGAUGGCUUUUCCAAUUCCAGCUUUCUGCUGCUUCCUUAGGAAGUUGGUGGCUUCCGUUCUUAGCUGGGCCUUCCUGACCAGACCUAGGAUGCUGACACUUAAGAAGCCCUGGAUGACUCAGGAGGUCCAGCGACUAUUAAAGAUCAGGAAUACUGCCUUUAGGGGUGGGGACAGGACUGUCUACAGUACAGCCCGAGCUAACUUGAAGAGCGGCAUCAAAAAGGCUAAGUCCAACUACAGGAGGAGGAUAGAGGGCUAUCUUGAUAGUAACAACAGCAGGUGAAGCCAACAUAGGCAGCCACACUACACCAAGCAAUCCAUCACCACACUCCUUGUUGCAGAGGAGGUGAGGCGCAUAUUGCGGGCCGUCAACCCAAGGAAGGGUGCUGGACCUGAUGGCGUCCCUGGACGUGUCCUGAAAGACUGCGGUGAUCAGCUGGCUGGAGUCUUCACCAGGAUCUUCAACCAGUCCCUAGCCCUGUCUACAGUUCCAUCUAGCCUGAAAUCUUCCAUCAUAGUGCCUAUACCCAAGAAACCUCACAUCUCUUGCCUCAACGAGUACCGGCCAGUGGCACUAACCCCUGUGGUGACAAAGUGUUUUGAAAAACUGGUCCAUAUUACAGCACUUAUUUCUCCUGGCUUUGACCCCCACCCGUUUGCCUACAGAGUCAACAGAUCCACAGAGGACGCUGUGAUCACAGCCCUCCAUGCUGCUCUGUCACAUCUGGAGCAGCAGGGGAGCUAUGUGCGGAUGCUCUUUGUGGAAUACAGUUCUGCUUUUAAUGCUAUUCUCCCUCACAGACUGGUGGACAAAUUGGGGGAUCUAGGUUUUGUUAAGCAUAUGCACUGACUGAUGGCAGUUUUUAAAUUUCGUUGUUCCUGUGACAAUGACAAUAAAGACUUUUAU
Molecule: RNA transcript, 2411 nt
Organism: Poeciliopsis prolifica (blackstripe livebearer)
Lineage: Eukaryota; Metazoa; Chordata; Actinopteri; Cyprinodontiformes; Poeciliidae
Gene: spata6l
Gene name: spermatogenesis associated 6-like
Exons: 16
Source: RefSeq, a predicted model, not a curated record